GGUGAGCCCAGCCACUCACCUUCCAGGAAGCGUGGAUUCCUGGAAGUGAGGGGACCCGCCGUCAUUUCGCAGGCAGCAGCAGCAGCAGCAGCAGCACGAACAGAGUCCAUAACUCUUCUAAGAAGAGGAAGCAAAUCAAAGCCUGGAAUUCAAAGCUUUCUCCAGCAGAGUCAACAGACCAAUAAAGAAAGGGAGUCCCUCUGCCUGUGGCAUUGUCCACACUCACAGGGUCCCACUUUUAUUUGUUCCUACAGAGUAAAAUGAAGCUAGAAAUA
Molecule: long non-coding RNA, 275 nt
Organism: Cebus imitator (Panamanian white-faced capuchin)
Lineage: Eukaryota; Metazoa; Chordata; Mammalia; Primates; Cebidae
Exons: 2
Source: RefSeq, a predicted model, not a curated record